Pogona vitticeps (central bearded dragon) is the source of this 1110-nucleotide non-coding RNA. Lineage: Eukaryota; Metazoa; Chordata; Lepidosauria; Squamata; Agamidae. The record is from RefSeq and is a predicted model, not a curated record.
UGAGGCGAAAGGAAGGCCUGCCCUCCCCUCCCGACGGAAAGCAACGGCCCGAUCCCAUCAUGCACCACGCCCCUAAUAGACAGCAAGGUCGAGAUUGUAGAGAAGAGACAGUGUGAAGUGGAUGUCUCGUGCCUUGUGACGGGAGCGAGCUAUGAAGAGCCAGUUGUUGAUGUAUGGAAAAAAUUUUAUUUUGUGAAGUCUGAGGUAAGCUGCUACAGGAGCCAUGCAUUUGGUAAAAACCUUGGGAGCUGUUGCAAGUCCAAAUGGGAGCCUUUUGAACUGACAGGCUUGGAUUCCUAAGCUGGAAGGUAUGGCCUGUGAGAGGGAUGGAUGGAUACAUGGAAGUAGGCAUGCCUUCGGUCUAUGACUGCAAACUAGUCUCUUUUGUGGAGUAGGGGAGAACAGAUUCAAGGGUAACCAUAUGGAAUUUGGUGGUGAUGAUGUAUUGAUUUAGUUCCCUGGGGUUGAGGAUGGGGCGGAGGCCUCCAUCUUUUUGGGAAUGGUAAAAUAAUGAGAGAAAAAACCUCUGCUUAUCUGGUGUACCGGUUCUAUAGUGUCUUUGAGUAGCAAUACUUGUAUUUCUUUCAUCCUACAGGGUUUGAGAUGGAGGUCUAACUGUGUACAAUGAUGGAGGGAGCUGGUGGAAUUUUAUGUGGUACCCACUUCAGAUGAUGGAAAGGACCCUAGCAUCUGUGGUGAUGCUUUCCCAUGCAGAUUAAAGGCUCACAGACGCAAUGAACGAGGCUCUCAACACGGCGGUUGAAAAAACUGAAGGGAGAGUCUUGGUGUCAAGGUACAUAUGCCAAGAGGGAGGGGGCUACACUAAUGGUUUUUUUGCUACUGCAGAAGCUCUGGAAUAUUCCGACAAGGCUCCGUGCAUGCGUGGAUUACCCAAGAUAUGACUGACAGAAGCCAUGAAGAACUAUGAAGUACUUAAAUCAUCCUGAGUGGUACCUAACUGAAGUCUGUGUAAACACAAUGGCCAAUUCCAUCUCAAUAGCUGAAUCCCUCAUUAGAAAAAUUAAAUCAGAUUAAGAACAGUGAACAAGGUUUCUAAUUUGCCAUGUAUUAUUUAAACAGACUCUUGAAAAAAGUACCUAUCCAUAUCCC